UCCUAACGGAAGGUUUUUAUAAUCAUUUUAGCCCUUGGGGAAUGCAGUUCCCUUCAUGCGUGGAAGUCAGCUCCUGGACGUUGGACUUGCAAACCCGGAAUGCAUCAUCUACAAAAGCAAGUGGCUGCCUGCCCGGUUUCACACGCUUGCUUUCAUCAUCGAACACCAUACUUUAGAGGUUCCAGAACCUUCCGCCAAGCUACCCCUUUCAUGACUUGCACAAGAUUACCACGAAAGGAGAGGUGGACACAGACCCAACUUGCCCCGAUGUGCCUCUUCAAGGACCCGGCAACACGGUUCACCCACGAGAGCCGGUGUGCCGUGGAUGCGGCUCAACCCGAUGCCCCGGCAGGGACGGUGAGUGGCCCGGUACCGCCCCCACGCCCGCUGUGCCCGCCUGGCCUCCCAGCCCCGCCACCCAACCGCAUCCCCGUGGGGUGGGAGGGGGGCACUCACCCCUCGCAGGGACUCGGCCUGUGGCUGGUGAAGCCGAUGGCGCAGCUCCCAGACCUGGUCUGUCAGUUCAAACACUUUCCUGCGGAGGGCGUCCUUCUCUGUCAGGCUCUGAGAAAUCUCCAUCCGGGCCGCGUCUCUCGCGGAGUAGGCCUGGGAGGCAGAAAGGAAAGGAGGGAGGAUGGCACGCAGCGAGCGAGCGAGCCGGCCAGCGGGGGACAGCAGUGGCGGGGACUCGGCCAGGCGGCACCCCGGGGCCCCUCCCCUCCGGGCACCUGGUCUCGCUCUCGCCGCAGCUCCAGCAACUGGCCCUGUAGGGCGCUGAUCUUCUCCUUGUAGAUGUCACAGUCGACCUUAGUCCUCUGGAACUGCAGCAAGGUCUGCUCCUUCUCCUCCCAGUACUGGACGGGGGACAGACACAGCCCAUGCAGGCCAGUGGCUCUGGGGGCUGACGACGGGGUGGGGCUGGGGUGCCUCGGGGAGGCAGAGAGGGGGGACCGUCCAGAUGGUAACAGAGGUGACUUCCUGCCCGUGUCUUAAGUGCCAAAUUUCAAGGUGCGUCUAUCCACAGGGCUGCUAUGCUGAUUAUAAUUGAAUUUAGUCGGUACAGCGUGUGACUCUGGAUCUCGGGGCUGCGGGUUCGAGCCCCACGUUGGGUGCAGAGAUCACUUAAAAAUAAAAUCUUAAAGAAAUACGCAUGGGUGUUGCAUGUACAACUGUGCUUCAUUCACUCCACGUCCCCAGAGACGUAAAUAAUUUCCCUCGACGCUACCGCCUCAUUUUCUCGCGCUGUCUCCUUCCUCUGUGUCCUCCCCUUGCCUGUUGUGGCAACUGAAUAAACCCCUGGUGCUGGCCCCGGGGGCCCCCACCGGAGAGCACCCUCCGUUCUAUUGCUCGUUUGUCCGAUUGCUCUCUGACCACCCGCUAACCGGACGGGGCCUCUAGCCUUGGGUCUGUGUUCCACGUGGCUUCCGUGAAGGAUGAGCGGUCGGGCCAGCGUGCUCGGGAAGCGGCGCUGGGUUUAAGCGCGGUGUGGUCUCAAGGGCCCGCGGCCCCCGCCCGUGCCCCGCGGUGCCGGACGCGGCCCUGAAGGGUCACCUGCUUCCGCUGCCUCUCGGCGGCCACGGCCCGCUGCCUCAGGGAGUGGAUACGCUCCACCAGCGUCUGUGUGCCCUCCAGGGCCUCGUCCAGGUUCUGUUCCAGGAUGUCCUUCUCCGCCUGGGGCAAAGAGAGGUCAGCCCCGGGGCCCUGGCCUCCUGAGACGCCUGCCCCUGGGAAGCACCCUAUCGUUCUUCCCUGGGAACGGGCAACAGGAAAUCUCGAGGCCGGGCGCGUGGAUGGAUUUGGCCUUAUUCCCGCGCAUCUCACAGAAGGAAAGGCCGGGUCAGCCGUCAAAACGGGUGCAUUUCACUUCUACUUCCACGCGGUCGGCGACGGAAGGUAAAGGAAACCGAGAGUCCCCGGGGGUGGCAGUGUCGGGCCACUCCGUCCCCAGAGCCACCAGCAGGGUCUCUGAGAGACGGAACACCGACGGACACGCCCUUGCCCGUCGCCCGCUCUGUGGGAAGGGGCUUAGGCGCGAUGGCACCAUCCAGGCCGCGUGACAGACAGCGCCAGGGCGGCCACCUACCCUGCACCCGGCGGGUCAGCUCCUUGUCCCCGGGCCCCAGGCCGUCGGCCAUCUGCGGGGAACGCUCUCGACAGUCCCGCUCGUGGGAAGAAGACAUCUUCUCGCGUUCUAGCUCUUGCUUCAGCAGAGAGUGAGCAGGGGAGCAGCAGAGAGAGGAGACACAGAAUCCGAAGCAGGCUCCAGGCCCCGAGCUGUCAGCACAGAGCCCGUUGUGGGGCUCGAAACUCACGAACCGCGAGAUCAUGACCUGAGCCGAAGUCGGAUGCUUAACCGCUUAAUCGAUCGAGCAACGCAGGCGCCCCUAAAUUUUUUGUUAAUGUUUAUUCAUCUUUGAGAGACAGAGCAUGAGCAGGGAAGGGGUAGAGAGAGGGAGACACAGAAUCCGAAGCAGGAUCCAGGCUGUGAGCUGUCUAGCACAGAGCCUGACGCGGGGCUCAAACUCACGAACCGCGAGAUCAUGACCUGAGCCGAAGUCAGAUGCUUAACCGACUGAGCCACCCAGGCACCCCUAGCUGUAUUUUGUAGAUGAGGCAUAGCAGUUAAAUGACUGGGUUGGGGCCCCAGGAACAGAGCAAGGAACCCCGGGGAAUCGGCUCUCUGACCGUCUCGGAAAACAAAUCCCCACGGCUGGUGGUAAGUAGCCAGUGACCAAGUGUCCUCCAGCAUGCUCCCUGGCUUCCCCGCCUUUCCAUAUUCUGCUAAAUCCGUUGCAUAAAAGGAACUGAGAUUUGUGAAAAGCAGUAAGUGUAAAGAAAGAGGAAAGACAAGUCAGACGGAGCAGAGAUGACGGGUCUAUGCAGAUGCACUCGUAAUCCACAUGCAAAUAUGUGUCCCCCAGCAGGGCUGCUUGUCCAGGGCUGUGGGUCUCUGGAAAUUACAUGCCUGGCCUCCACCCUGCCAGACAGUGCCCCCAAGAGAAACUCAGAUCUGGAACCAAGAUCCUGCCCUCUUGGAAUCCUGGGUGUGGUGUCCGUGGGGAGAGGGGACUUUCCCCAAGAGGAGAGCCCAGGAAAUGGGGAGUCAGGGUGGAGUCAGCACUCACUCGGGUCAAGGAGAGAAGGAAGAACCUUUCCACUUGGACUUUUUCCCCUCUGACAUCUACUUGGUGAAUUUUCUGUAAGCAACGACAAAGUUCCUGCUAUGGGCCAACUGGGUUAGGUGUGUCGUAUCCUACAUUUUCAAAAAGUAAAAUUAAGUCAUUAAGAUCAGAAUGGGGGGGGGGCACCUGAAAUUGAUAACAAAGCUAAGCAAAUGAACCUAAUGAUAUUUCAAACAGGAGAACCACCAUGAGGGGAGAGGGAGGGGGAGGGAUUCAGAGACCAGCAGCCACAAUUCGGGACUGAAGUACAAACCCUCAACAUUCCUUAGCAGCUCUGUUUCCCGUGCUGGUGUGGGCACAGCUAUGCUGAAAGUAUUUUCCAUGCACUGUAGGACUGAGCAAGUGAGUGUUCGUGUGGGUGGCAGGGUUCUCGCCGGGGGGCUAGGGGCGCCCGAGUAUGGAAUGGGGGAGGAGGCUCUGGGGAUCGCCUGGAAUCUGAGGUGUGGGUGUGAUCUCGUGGCUUCUAAAAUACAAGUGUGUGUGUGGACACGCAUACGUGCACGCCUGUUUGUAUGCGUAUUCGUACAUUUAGGUGCACGCUUCCUAGUUCUGUCUGCUGGAAGGACCGAGGAGUUAUGAGCUCACCUAGAGCCCUGAUCUUGGUCUCUGCACGGAACCAGGCCCUUCGGGGAGUGGCUGAGCCCAGAGCUGGGGCCGGGUGGGGACCAGAUGACCCCGGAACCUCUUGUGCCUCCAGAGAGGGAGUCCGUGCUCGGAAUAUGAGGGGGCGUGUCACAGGACACGGAAGAGAUUAAAGGGGCUCCCGCUGGCCAAAUCUGGGACACUUUGGGCAAACUCAUUCAGGACAGCGACGUGUUACAGGCAACUGGAUGUAAGAAUGCACGUGUCUGUGCCAACAACAGACGCACACACUGGGGAAUAAGGCUCCUCCUCGCGGUCAGGAUGUCGAGGGCCAGCUGGUUGACCAGAGGGGUCACUGGAGAUGGGCUCAUCAUCCUGCAACCACCAGACUAGAGAUGAGUUUGGGCAAGAACCCCCAGUGAGGCUCUCCAGGGGGAAAUGUCGAUUAAGGGCAGGGUGCUUGCUGGUUCCAGAGCCCCCCAUACCCAGGCUGCUUCUCCGCUGCUGGAAGAAAAAGGAACAGCAGGUACAGGGGAGGGAGCGGACAGCCCCUGGGCCAGGUGGGCAAUAUUAACAUCAGCACCGAGGGGCGCUGGGCCUGGUGCCACGGUGGGGUGACUGGACCCGGGCCCAGCGUCCCUGUGCAGGUCCCACCAAAAAGGCAUAACCCCCAUCCAGUCACCAGGACACAGGAGACAAACCCGAAAUGAGGAAUGGUCUAUUACAGAAAAGAAGGGCCAUGAGGCGCCUGGGGGGGCUCAGUGGGUUGAGUGUCUGACUUGAGCUCAGGUCAUGAUCUCACAGUUCUUGGGUUCAGGCCCCACAUCGGGCUCUGUGCUUACAGCUCAGAGCUUGCUUGGGAUUCUCUCUCCCUCACUCUGCACCUCCCCUGCUCACUCUCUCUCUC
Long non-coding RNA from Acinonyx jubatus (cheetah), 4671 nucleotides. RefSeq lists it as uncharacterized. The record is from RefSeq and is a predicted model, not a curated record. The transcript is spliced from 3 exons. NCBI's taxonomy places the organism in Eukaryota, Metazoa, Chordata, Mammalia, Carnivora, Felidae.